CUCUGUUGACAGCAAGGGAGAGAGGCGGGUUGAUGCAGGAGAGGAAUUACUGUCCUAUUUCUUCGUGCCAGAAUGAGGAACUGGAAACAGGCUGAAGGGGAAAGGAGCUGGAUGGAUGUCCCAGAGACCUUAAAGGCUCAGAGGAAGACUGGCCAGGCUUAGGUUACUGUCCCUCUGCCCCUUCCCUGGUACCUCUGACACCAAUUAGGAGCUGGGCUUAUUAGCUGUUCUCCUGCACCAGUCUCCAAACACCACCGAGCAGCACCUGAGCCUGGUGCAGGAUGCAGUGUCUCAGGAUGCUGCAACCAAGAGAGAGGUGAGCCCGCACCUGGCAAUGGGGAGCCCAGCCGCAGCCAGAUGUGAGCUCCUUCCCCAUCCUCCCCCCUUCCUCUUGCCCUAGCCUCAGGCCAAACAGGGAAAAUCCUUCAGCAGAACCCCAGCUGGGGCUGCUCGCUGCCUUUCCAUAGCAACAGUCCAUCAGGGGGUCGGAGUCAGCAGUGAAAAAUGCUUUCUCGCCUUGCCUGCCGGUCGCUAUUUUGAUUGCAUUCCUGGGGAGCUGGGCUGCAGAUGUGGUCUCCUUAUCUUGGGAAGGUCUGAGUCAGUUUUUCCCUGUGUGAUGGAGCAGGCAGCUGAGGUCUGGAAGAGGAAUAAAUAGCUUCAAAGGCAUGCUGUUUGGUGGGGAAAAAGUGGUGGUACCACUCUCCAUCCUAUACUCAUGGUGCCCACAUGGCACAGCACGCAUGGAGGAGAUGAAGGAGAUGUCCCUGCAAAGCACGUUCAGACAGCCCUGGUGUCUUGGCCUAAGAAAAAGGAGACCAGGAAUGCUGCUCCUUGGAUGACCUGAGGAACAUUCCCACAAGAGAGGCACCUCACAUUCACCCACCAA
Molecule: long non-coding RNA, 886 nt
Organism: Lagopus muta (rock ptarmigan)
Lineage: Eukaryota; Metazoa; Chordata; Aves; Galliformes; Phasianidae
Exons: 2
Source: RefSeq, a predicted model, not a curated record